This 255-nucleotide ribosomal RNA is filed under the name uncultured bacterium. Its description in RNAcentral is "partial 16S ribosomal RNA". It matches the Rfam family "Bacterial small subunit ribosomal RNA", at positions 524 to 778 of the family's 1533-position model. The record is from RNAcentral.
UACGAAGGGGGCUAGCGUUGCUCGGAAUUACUGGGCGUAAAGGGCUCGUAGGCGGCCAACUAAGUCAAACGUGAAAUCCCCUCGGCUUAACCGGGGAACUGCGUCUGAUACUGGAUGGCUUAGUAUGGGAGAGGGAUGCGGAAUUCCAGGUGUAGCGGUGAAAUGCGCGAUAUCGAGGAAGAACCGAGCCGGUAGGCGGAAGCGGUCGACCUGGCCUAACUGCGUCGUGAGGAAAGCCGGGAAAGCCAAUGGGGG